Molecule: ribosomal RNA, 448 nt
Filed under: uncultured bacterium
Lineage: Bacteria
Description: bacterial SSU rRNA
Rfam family: Bacterial small subunit ribosomal RNA
Source: RNAcentral
GAUGAACGCUGGCGGCGUGCUUAACACAUGCAAGUCGAACGAAGCACUUUAUUUGAUUUCCUUCGGGACUGAUUAUUUUGUGACUGAGUGGCGGACGGGUGAGUAACGCGUGGGUAACCUGCCUUGUACAGGGGGAUAACAGUUGGAAACGGCUGCUAAUACCGCAUAAGCGCACGGCAUCGCAUGAUGCAGUGUGAAAAACUCCGGUGGUAUAAGAUGGACCCGCGUUGGAUUAGCUAGUUGGUGAGGUAACGGCCCACCAAGGCGACGAUCCAUAGCCGACCUGGGAGGGUGACCGGCCACAUUGGGACUGAGACACGGCCCAAACUCCUACGGGAGGCAGCAGUGGGGAAUAUUGCACAAUGGGCGAAAGCCUGAUGCAGCGACGCCGCGUGAGCGAAGAAGUAUUUCGGUAUGUAAAGCUCUAUCAGCAGGGAAGAUAAUGACG